Molecule: ribosomal RNA, 2362 nt
Filed under: Triticum aestivum (bread wheat)
Lineage: Eukaryota; Viridiplantae; Streptophyta; Magnoliopsida; Poales; Poaceae
Description: partial small subunit ribosomal RNA
Source: RNAcentral
UGGCGCAGGUACCCUGGUACCGAGGUAUACGGUGCUUCAUCGGUUGAUAGACUUAGUAGCCUACAAGGUGCCGAUCUGAAAAAGGGGAUGUGGUAGGACGUGCCAUGGAAGCGGAGAAAGAGGAGGCCAGGGAAGAUAGAAGAGGGUGCGACGAGACUAGAGGCUGGAGGACGGGGCUCGAGGUUAGGCUGGCUAGGUUACGGCGAGAUUUAGGAGAGGAGGUGAGGUGGUGGUGGAUCUAGGCGGGCGGGGCUCCGCCGCCUCGAGGCCUCUCGAGCUACUCGUCGGUCCCUAAGCCGGGGCCCUCGGGGUUCAGGAAGGCGAUGGGAUCUCGGCUGAUGCUAGAGCUCAGGCCCUAGGGGGCGUUCCCGGCGUUCGGGUUCCGGAGCGUAGAGCUGCGGGGGCGGGGGGAGCCGAGCCGCGACUACUUCUAGGCGAAGAAGAUGCUCCGCGUGGGGCAGCGCCAGCGGGAGUAGGACGACAGGAAGCCCGACUCGCAAGACUAGGAGGACAGGCACAUGCUCUGGGCCAAGUCCUGCUACUCCUCGCCGCCGUUACUCCAGCCCCGCGUGGGCGAAGGCCCGGAGGCGUUGGAGCAGUACCACCGGCCGGUAAGCUAUAUGUGGUCGCGGUCGACGCCCUUCUAGCUGGCGCUCCUAAGCACCAAGAACCUCGGCAUGGUCUUCGUGGGGCCGGUCCGCCGGUGGAAGAACCGCGUGUAGUUCCUCCCCCACCUCUAGCGCCGCUCCCUACUCCCGCGCGAGGAGAACAAAUCGCCACCCCUCUGCUCCUUUCUACGUCCCGGCUCCUCGCUCCGCGUCUCGAUGACCCGAUAGCGUCUCAGCCUUCCGACCAAACCACUCAAAGUCCAAUGUAGUUGUAAGGAAGAAAGCACGAAAUCAUUCUAAUAAUAAUAACCGUAUUGCCCCAAGCCUUUACACCACGACUAAUCAGAAAAACAGCUAACAAGCAGUAUACAUAGGACUUGAACUUUGUUGUUCUGGAUCUACAUGUUAAUGAAAGACUCAAGACUGAUGUAUGCGUGAGUCAACGAGACUACUUUUACGUUUCGUUUGUUGUACGAACAAAAUCCAAGACAUAUAUCUAUACAACUACGUACUAGUAUUUAAAUGAUAGCACCUUCAUUUAUUAAUUUUACCGACAUCUUUUGUAGUAACUGUCGUUCGACGAGUGUAAAACGUCUCCGGUAACCUUUUACCGACUACUCAAGAGAUUAACACAGUUUGUACAUCAAGUCGAGUAUUUAGGUAGAGACUUUGUACCUAUCAGUCUUACAUUCCUGACUUCUCCAACUACGAAGGACUUCAAAUAGCACAAAUGGAAGAGUAGAGUCGUGUCAUAAUGGUGGCAACAAAUACAUAGGUCAAGCUCAAGGAAUCAAUAAAACCGUUGGUAGACCGUUUUUGAAGUGAUAAACGUACAUGUACGUGUCCUUUACUACUAUCACAUUCCUUGGCCCGUGAGUGACUCCUCGUACGUGCUCUAUCAAAACUCUUAGAGGAUAAAUCGUAAACGGCAAAGUCUCUUGAGUGACCUUGUAUGGGUGUCUUAUAUUGACAACAUUCGAUACUAAAAUUCCUCCUUUCCAAACGUGUUAACGUGUCUAGACGUGAACCCAAGGGUCUUCUUUCCAAGAAGAAGAGUCCAUGGGGUCGAUGUCGAUGUCGUUUCCUCCGUCGAGACUUUCCACUUCGGAGACAGUCCAGAGUCAAGGUUCUUCUAGGUAUACCUACACAACCAAGAGAAGCACAUUUCUCCGAGUUCUCUCUGGGCAAAGUGGCAUGGUAAGGGAUGGGGUUACCGACGGGACUUAACUUCCCGGAUAAGAGGAUAACGCCGUACCACGGUAUGAGACCCUUGGAAGGAACCUGAGUCAUCGCCUUUUUCCGUACUACAAACCUAGUUUGUAGAUGAGAGCGACAUUUUAGGGUCGUAAGAACAAAGCGGGGACAAAGAUUCGACUGUCUUAUCUAUAGGGCUAAGGACAGAAGACACGCUCCCUCUUCUCUUCUAGAUUCGAUGUGAUCAAUCUAACAAAAGCAGUGCCUUCGAACGGUGUACGAGGUAUAUCUGUCUAAAAGAUAAAGAGUGAGGAGGGCCUAGAGGUGACUUUUGACACUUAAACAAUCAUGUGUACCAGACAUUUGAUCGUCACCUUCGUUCACUUGAAUAUUAAACAUUAAGGUCGAACUUGACGUGGUCAUUUUUGACCUUUGGAAUACUUGUACAUGGUACAUUAUAGAACCAUAAGAAGGUAACACUUUUUUUAUCCGACAAAAGCAAAAACUCCUUCCUCGAAACCCUUAUUCAAUUACCAGAUAUACACGACCGAUGAAACGGU